Molecule: transfer RNA, 73 nt
Filed under: Paragonimus skrjabini miyazakii
Lineage: Eukaryota; Metazoa; Platyhelminthes; Trematoda; Plagiorchiida; Troglotrematidae
Description: Paragonimus miyazakii tRNA
Rfam family: tRNA
About the family: Transfer RNA (tRNA) molecules are approximately 80 nucleotides in length.
Source: Rfam by way of RNAcentral
GGUUCCGUGGUGUAGUGGUCAUCACGUCUGUCUUACACACAGAAGGUCCCCAGUUCGAUCCUGGGCGGAGCCA